CCUACGGGAGGCAGCAGGGAGGAAUAUGGGGCAAUGGAAGGAAGGAGGAACAAGACAAGGAGAGAGAAGGACGAAGGUGCCAAGCAUUGUAAACUUCUUUUGUCAAGGGACAAAAUCAGGCUCGAGAGCCUGACCGAGGGUACUUGAAGAAAAAGCAUCGGCUAACUCCGUGCCAGCAGCCGCGGUAAUACGGAGGAUGCGAGCGUUAUCCGGAUUUAUUGGGUUUAAAGGGUGCGUAGGCGGACUGUUAAGUCAGCGGUAAAAGCCCGGGGCUCAACCCCGGCGAGCCGUUGAAACUGGCUGUCUUGAGAUGUCGAGAGGUAUGCGGAAUGCGCAGUGUAGCGGUGAAAUGCUUAGAUAUUGCGCAGAACUCCGAUUGCGAAGGCAGCAUACCGGCGGCGAUCUGACGCUGAGGCACGAAAGCGUGGGUAUCGAACAGGAUUAGAUACCCUGGUAGUC
This 459-nucleotide ribosomal RNA is filed under the name uncultured bacterium. RNAcentral describes it as "partial 16S ribosomal RNA". It matches the Rfam family "Bacterial small subunit ribosomal RNA", at positions 338 to 795 of the family's 1533-position model. The record is from RNAcentral.